UCUCGGCUUAUCACCGGCAGUCCCCCUAGAGUGCCCAACUAAAUGAUGGCAACUAGGGGCGAGGGUUGCGCUCGUUGCGGGACUUAACCCAACAUCUCACGGCACGAGCUGACGACAGCCAUGCAGCACCUGUGUUCCCGCCAGCCGAACUGAAGGGGUGCAUCUCUGCUCCCCAUACGGGACAUGUCAAAAGCUGGUAAGGUUCUGCGCGUUGCUUCGAAUUGAACCACAUGCUCCACCGCUUGUGCGGGCCCCCGUCAAUUCCUUUGAGUUUUAGCCUUGCGGCCGUACUCCCCAGGCGGGGUGCUUAAUGCGUUAGCUUCGGCACGGGCGGGGUCGAUAUCCGCCCACACCUAGCGCCCAUCGUUUACGACUAGGACUAC
This 383-nucleotide unclassified non-coding RNA is filed under the name uncultured bacterium. RNAcentral describes it as "contains 16S-23S intergenic spacer region". The record is from RNAcentral.